CCUACGGGGGGCUGCAGUGGGGAAUAUUGGACAAUGGGGGCAACCCUGAUCCAGCCAUGCCGCGUGUGUGAAGAAGGCCCUCGGGUUGUAAAGCACUUUCAGUGAGGAAGAACGCCUGGUGGUUAAUACCCAUCAGGAAAGACAUCACUCACAGAAGAAGCACCGGCUAACUCCGUGCCAGCAGCCGCGGUAAUACGGAGGGUGCGAGCGUUAAUCGGAAUUACUGGGCGUAAAGCGCGCGUAGGUGGCUUGAUAAGCCGGUUGUGAAAGCCCCGGGCUCAACCUGGGAACGGCAUCCGGAACUGUCAAGCUAGAGUGCAGGAGAGGAAGGUAGAAUUCCCGGUGUAGCGGUGAAAGGCGUAGAGAUCGGGAGGAAUACCAGUGGCGAAGGCGGCCUUCUGGACUGACACUGACACUGAGGUGCGAAAGCGUGGGUAGCAAACAGGAUUAGAUACCCCGGUAGUC
RNAcentral lists this ribosomal RNA (465 nucleotides) under Vreelandella stevensii. RNAcentral's name for it is "partial 16S ribosomal RNA". It matches the Rfam family "Bacterial small subunit ribosomal RNA", at positions 338 to 795 of the family's 1533-position model. The record is from RNAcentral. Lineage: Bacteria; Pseudomonadati; Pseudomonadota; Gammaproteobacteria; Oceanospirillales; Halomonadaceae.